Molecule: ribosomal RNA, 379 nt
Filed under: uncultured archaeon
Lineage: Archaea
Description: bacterial SSU rRNA
Rfam family: Archaeal small subunit ribosomal RNA
Source: RNAcentral
CGCGGUAAUACCAGCUCUCCGAGUAGUAGGGACGAUUAUUGGGCUUAAAGCGUCCGUAGCCGGCUUAGCAAGUCUCCUGUUAAAUUCAGCGACCUAAUCGUUGAGCCGCGGGAGAUACUACUAGGCUAGGAGGCGGGAGAGGCCGACGGUAUUCCCGGGGUAGGGGUGAAAUCCUAUAAUCCCGGGAGGACCACCAGUGGCGAAGGCUGUCGGCUAGAACGCGCUCGACGGUGAGGGACGAAAGCUGGGGGAGCGAACCGGAUUAGAUACCCGGGUAGUCCCAGCUGUAAACGAUGCGGGCUAGGUGUUGAGGUGGCUACGAGCCACUUCAGUGCCGCAGGGAAGCCAUUAAGCCCGCCGCCUGGGGAGUACGGCCGCA